ACCCGCUUCAUUGUAAUCAAUCCCAGAGAAGAUCAUACUAAACGCGCUCUUCAGAAAACUUGUACAAGUUCAAAAAAACAGUACUACUACUUGUUAAAAAAAAUAUACUGAUUUUCCGUCAAAUGAAAGUAAUACAAUCCGUCUCCGUUGACAACUGGUAAAGUUAUCUCAUAACAAAGCUAUUAAUUAUUUGAACGCCUUCGUCUCAAACAAAAUCAAUAAUUUUGACUGUUUUCUAUAUUUUCUGAAGGUUGAAAUAAGAUUAUAACUUGAGGUAUAUAAGAGCCAGAAGGUUCUGAAUGAAUUGGUUGACAAGAAAUGCUGGCAAUAUCGUAGUCAUUCAAACUUUUUUCUUCUUGGCUAUUCUCCGGAAAAGCAAUUUCCACUUGUUUGGGUUCCAAAAAGAUAUAUAGAUUCGUGUGUUAUUACUAUAUAAAAGAGGUGUUGAAGCAAUAGACUUAAUAGAAUUUCUUAUCGAUCCGGAUCAGCAAUCUCAACAAGAGUUUGAAAAUAAUUAUUUCAUCCUUUUUAACAAUUUUGUUUUAGAGGAAUCUGCCUUCAGACAGACGAGUUUUGUUAAAUUUCUAUUUGUACAAUGAUGUGCGAUUAUAAUUAUAAUGAUUAAAAG
This 628-nucleotide long non-coding RNA is filed under the name Mytilus galloprovincialis (Mediterranean mussel). The record is from RNAcentral. Lineage: Eukaryota; Metazoa; Mollusca; Bivalvia; Mytilida; Mytilidae.